UACGGAGGAUCCGAGCGUUAUCCGGAAUCAUUGGGUUUAAAGGGUCCGUAGGUGGACGGUUAAGUCAGGGGUGAAAGUCUGCAGCUCAACUGUAGAAUUGCCCUUGAUACUGGCUGUCUUGAGUUACUAUGAAGUGGUUAGAAUAUGUGGUGUAGCGGUGAAAUGCAUAGAUAUCACAUAGAAUACCAAUUGCGAAGGCAGAUCACUAAUAGUACACUGACACUGAUGGACGAAAGCGUGGGGAGCGAACAGG
Molecule: ribosomal RNA, 253 nt
Filed under: uncultured bacterium
Lineage: Bacteria
Also listed under: 1 other name
Description: partial 16S ribosomal RNA
Rfam family: Bacterial small subunit ribosomal RNA
Source: RNAcentral